This 497-nucleotide ribosomal RNA is filed under the name uncultured bacterium. Its description in RNAcentral is "partial 16S ribosomal RNA". It matches the Rfam family "Bacterial small subunit ribosomal RNA", at positions 28 to 507 of the family's 1533-position model. The record is from RNAcentral.
GAUGAACGCUGGCGGCGUGCCUAAUACAUGCAAGUCGAGCGAACGGACGAGAAGCUUGCUUCUCUGAUGUUAGCGGCGGACGGGUGAGUAACACGUGGAUAACCUACCUAUAAGACUGGGAUGACUUCGGGAAACCGGAGCUAAUACCGGAUAAUAUUUUGAACCGCAUGGUUCAAAAGUGAAAGACGGUCUUGCUGCCACUUAUAGAUGGAUCCGCGCUGCAUUAGCUAGUUGGUAAGGUAACGGCUUACCAAGGCAACGAUGCAUAGCCGACCUGAGAGGGUGAUCGGCCACACUGGAACUGAGACACGGUCCAGACUCCUACGGGAGGCAGCAGUAGGGAAUCUUCCGCAAUGGGCGAAAGCCUGACGGAGCAACGCCGCGUGAGUGAUGAAGGUCUUCGGAUCGUAAAACUCUGUUAUUAGGGAAGAACAUAUGUGUAAGUAACUGUGCACAUCUUGACGGUACCUAAUCAGAAAGCCACGGCUAACUACGUG